Molecule: long non-coding RNA, 271 nt
Filed under: Elaeis guineensis (African oil palm)
Lineage: Eukaryota; Viridiplantae; Streptophyta; Magnoliopsida; Arecales; Arecaceae
Description: long non-coding RNA (EGUI_LNC061654)
Source: RNAcentral
GCCCUGUGUGGAUUAUCGUUGGAGGACGAAUGCUUGGGUGCCUAGUGGAGAUUCUGUCAGAAUUUGGAAUAAGUAUUGUAGGUAUUCUUCUAUAGCUUAAAUUUUAUUAUGAAUAUAUUAUAUAUAAUUAUCAAUCAUCAAGAAUGUUUUGGUUUAAAAAUUUAAUAUUUAAAAUUUUAUAAUUUAAAAUUUUUGAAAUCCAUUAUGCUUUCGCUGUGCAUGUCCACCCAAACCCUAUAGUGGUAUCAGAGCCAAUCUUGUUUGGUUCAAU